This 253-nucleotide ribosomal RNA is filed under the name uncultured bacterium. RNAcentral's name for it is "partial 16S ribosomal RNA". It matches the Rfam family "Bacterial small subunit ribosomal RNA", at positions 524 to 776 of the family's 1533-position model. The record is from RNAcentral.
UACGUAGGGGGCUAGCGUUGUCCGGAAUCAUUGGGCGUAAAGCGCGUGUAGGCGGCCCGGUAAGUCCGCUGUGAAAGUCCAGGGCUCAACCCUGGGAUGCCGGUGGAUACUGUCGGGCUCGAGUCCGGAAGAGGCGAGUGGAAUUCCUGGCGUAGCGGUGAAAUGCGCAGAUAUCAGGAGGAACACCAAUGGCGAAGGCAGCUCGCUGGGACGUGACUGACGCUGAGACGCGAAAGCGUGGGGAGCAAACAGG